AGAGUUUGAUCAUGGCUCAGAACGAACGUUGGCGGCGUGCUUAACACAUGCAAGUCGAACGAGAAAGUUCCUUCGGGAAUGAGUAAAGUGGCGCACGGGUGAGUAACACGUAGAUAAUCUGUCCAGGUGUUCGGGAUAGCCCUUCGAAAGGGGGAUUAAUACCGGAUACGUUGGUUUGUCAUAAGACGAAUCAAGAAAGGUGGCCUCUAUUUAUAAGCUAUCGCAUUUGGAGGAGUCUGCGUACCAUUAGUUUGUUGGUGGGGUAAUGGCCUACCAAGACUUCGAUGGUUAGCGGGUCUGAGAGGAUGAUCCGUCACACUGGCACUGAAACACGGGCCAGACUCCUACGGGAGGCAGCAGUGAGGAAUAUUGCGCAAUGGGGGAAACCCUGACGCAGCGACGCCGCGCGGGUGAGGAAGGCUUUCGGGUCGUAAAGCCCUGUCAGGUGGGAAGAAAUGGUUAUAAGUUAAUAACUUAUAGCUUGACG
This 487-nucleotide ribosomal RNA is filed under the name uncultured bacterium. RNAcentral describes it as "bacterial SSU rRNA". It matches the Rfam family "Bacterial small subunit ribosomal RNA", at positions 8 to 474 of the family's 1533-position model. The record is from RNAcentral.